Molecule: ribosomal RNA, 1522 nt
Filed under: Salmonella enterica subsp. enterica serovar Rubislaw
Lineage: Bacteria; Pseudomonadati; Pseudomonadota; Gammaproteobacteria; Enterobacterales; Enterobacteriaceae
Also listed under: 2 other names
Description: partial 16S ribosomal RNA
Rfam family: Bacterial small subunit ribosomal RNA
Source: RNAcentral
AAAUUGAAGAGUUUGAUCAUGGCUCAGAUUGAACGCUGGCGGCAGGCCUAACACAUGCAAGUCGAACGGUAGCACAGAGAGCUUGCUCUCGGGUGACGAGUGGCGGACGGGUGAGUAAUGUCUGGGAAACUGCCUGAUGGAGGGGGAUAACUACUGGAAACGGUGGCUAAUACCGCAUAACGUCGCAAGACCAAAGAGGGGGACCUUCGGGCCUCUUGCCAUCAGAUGUGCCCAGAUGGGAUUAGCUUGUUGGUGAGGUAACGGCUCACCAAGGCGACGAUCCCUAGCUGGUCUGAGAGGAUGACCAGCCACACUGGAACUGAGACACGGUCCAGACUCCUACGGGAGGCAGCAGUGGGGAAUAUUGCACAAUGGGCGCAAGCCUGAUGCAGCCAUGCCGCGUGUAUGAAGAAGGCCUUCGGGUUGUAAAGUACUUUCAGCGGGGAGGAAGGUGUUGUGGUUAAUAACCGCAGCAAUUGACGUUACCCGCAGAAGAAGCACCGGCUAACUCCGUGCCAGCAGCCGCGGUAAUACGGAGGGUGCAAGCGUUAAUCGGAAUUACUGGGCGUAAAGCGCACGCAGGCGGUCUGUCAAGUCGGAUGUGAAAUCCCCGGGCUCAACCUGGGAACUGCAUUCGAAACUGGCAGGCUUGAGUCUUGUAGAGGGGGGUAGAAUUCCAGGUGUAGCGGUGAAAUGCGUAGAGAUCUGGAGGAAUACCGGUGGCGAAGGCGGCCCCCUGGACAAAGACUGACGCUCAGGUGCGAAAGCGUGGGGAGCAAACAGGAUUAGAUACCCUGGUAGUCCACGCCGUAAACGAUGUCUACUUGGAGGUUGUGCCCUUGAGGCGUGGCUUCCGGAGCUAACGCGUUAAGUAGACCGCCUGGGGAGUACGGCCGCAAGGUUAAAACUCAAAUGAAUUGACGGGGGCCCGCACAAGCGGUGGAGCAUGUGGUUUAAUUCGAUGCAACGCGAAGAACCUUACCUGGUCUUGACAUCCACAGAACUUUCCAGAGAUGGAUUGGUGCCUUCGGGAACUGUGAGACAGGUGCUGCAUGGCUGUCGUCAGCUCGUGUUGUGAAAUGUUGGGUUAAGUCCCGCAACGAGCGCAACCCUUAUCCUUUGUUGCCAGCGGUCCGGCCGGGAACUCAAAGGAGACUGCCAGUGAUAAACUGGAGGAAGGUGGGGAUGACGUCAAGUCAUCAUGGCCCUUACGACCAGGGCUACACACGUGCUACAAUGGCGCAUACAAAGAGAAGCGACCUCGCGAGAGCAAGCGGACCUCAUAAAGUGCGUCGUAGUCCGGAUUGGAGUCUGCAACUCGACUCCAUGAAGUCGGAAUCGCUAGUAAUCGUGGAUCAGAAUGCCACGGUGAAUACGUUCCCGGGCCUUGUACACACCGCCCGUCACACCAUGGGAGUGGGUUGCAAAAGAAGUAGGUAGCUUAACCUUCGGGAGGGCGCUUACCACUUUGUGAUUCAUGACUGGGGUGAAGUCGUAACAAGGUAACCGUAGGGGAACCUGC